RNAcentral lists this ribosomal RNA (301 nucleotides) under uncultured bacterium. RNAcentral's name for it is "partial 16S ribosomal RNA". It matches the Rfam family "Bacterial small subunit ribosomal RNA", at positions 509 to 807 of the family's 1533-position model. The record is from RNAcentral.
CAGCAGCCGCGGGAAUACGAAGGGUGCAAGCGUUACUCGGAAUUACUGGGCGUAAAGCGUGCGUAGGUGGUGGUUUAAGUCCGUUGUGAAAGCCCUGGGCUCAACCUGGGAAUUGCAGUGGAUACUGGGUCACUAGAGUGUGGUAGAGGAUAGUGGAAUUUCCGGUGUAGCAGUGAAAUGCGUAGAGAUCGGAAGGAACAUCUGUGGCGAAGGCGACUAUCUGGGCCAACACUGACACUGAGGCACGAAAGCGUGGGGAGCAAACAGGAUUAGAUACCCCCGUAGUCCCUGUCUAUUAUAC